UGGGGAAUUUUGGACAAUGGGCGAAAGCCUGAUCCAGCAAUGCCGCGUGUGUGAAGAAGGCCUUCGGGUUGUAAAGCACUUUUGUCCGGAAAGAAAUCCUUGGCUCUAAUACAGUCGGGGGAUGACGGUACCUGAAGAAUAAGCACCGGCUAACUACGUGCCAGCAGCCGCGGUAAUACGUAGGGUGCAAGCGUUAAUCGGAAUUACUGGGCGUAAAGCGUGCGCAGGCGGUUUGCUAAGACCGAUGUGAAAUCCCCGGGCUCAACCUGGGAACUGCAUUGGUGACUGGCAGGCUAGAGUAUGGCAGAGGGGGGUAGAAUUCCACGUGUAGCAGUGAAAUGCGUAGAGAUGUGGAGGAAUACCGAUGGCGAAGGCAGCCCCCUGGGCCAAUACUGACGCUCAUGCACGAAAGCGUGGGGAGCAAACAGGAUUAGAUACCCUGGUAGUCCACGCCCUAAACGAUGUCAACUAGUUGUUGGGGAUUCAUUUCCUUAGUAACGUAGCUAACGCGUGAAGUUGACCGCCUGGGGAGUACGGUCGCAAGAUUAAAACUCAAAGGAAUUGACGGGGUCAUAGCUGUUUCCU
This 585-nucleotide ribosomal RNA is filed under the name uncultured bacterium. RNAcentral describes it as "partial 16S ribosomal RNA". It matches the Rfam family "Bacterial small subunit ribosomal RNA", at positions 355 to 1375 of the family's 1533-position model. The record is from RNAcentral.